GGAUUUGUGGUCGUCCUUGUAACCCAUGUACCCACAUGCUGGAAGAAGAUAAAAUGCCCUGCCAAUACCUAGGACUUCCAGAGCCGAAGAACAGCAACAAGCCAUCUGACUGCCCGAUAGCACCCGAGGGCUCCGUACGGUCAGGCAUGGGACGACGAUGGCACCUCUGUGUUAUUUUGUUUUUAGGAUUUAUCGGCGCAAUUGAUGCCAGGCAUUAUCCUCACCAGCCAUUCAGGGUCUUAUACCAUUGGAAAGAAGACAUGUAUCUUCCUCGCUGGCUCCGCUGAAGGGAAGUAGUGACAGGUAUCACCUUUGCAGUGCUCCUCGGCUUGGGAGCCGCCAGCACGGCUACAGGCGUUUCAGCCUUCAUUACCCAGCAUCAAGGGCUUUCUCAACUGCAAGCAACCGUUGACGAGGACCUGCAGAAAAUUGAGGAAUCCAUCUCCCUCUUAGAAAAAUCCCUCUCCUCUUUCUCAGAGGUCGUCUUGCAGAACAGACGAGGCAUGGACCUCUUGCUCAUGCAACAGGGAGGCCUGUGCGCUGCCCUAAGAGAGGAAUGCUGUUUUUACGUGGACCAUACAGGGGUCGUGCGGGACUCAAUGGCCGAACUGAGAGAAAGGCUGGCCCAAAGGAAGAAAGAGAGAGAAGGACAACAGGGAUGGUUUGAGUCAUGGUUCUACCAGUCCCCAUAGCUAACCACCCUUAUCUCCACUCUCAUAGGCCCUUGUGUUAUGAUACUUUUGGCAUUAGUCUUUGGUCCCUGUAUUUUAAAUAAGUUAGUGUCGUUUGUUAGUAAUUUGUCAGUUAACAUUAUGCUAGUUGAACGCCAACAACUGCUUUAAGUGAAGUUUUUGAACACGUUAACAGCAAUAUAAGAGUUUACAGGCCCAAGUUCUAGCGGCUCAGUAAUUUGCAGUUCCAUGGCUUUGGAUCUGUGACAUUCGUUUUAUGUAUGUUACUACAUUUGGUUAGGCAUAGAGAAGGGGGGAAAUGUGGGAGGAUAGGAACAGGCGAUCGGAAGAUUGUGUGCUGUAUGGAAAGAUGGGACGCCCUCGCCUCCGUUUGUUAGUAUUACCAUGAAUUUACUGAGCCAGCCAAGACUGAGUGGCUUGUGACACAAGCACACGGAAGUGAUGUAACCCCAGGCUAUAUAAUGCUGUGCAGCUCGGAAAUAAACAUCAUUUUACUGUCCA
Non-coding RNA from Taeniopygia guttata (zebra finch), 1193 nucleotides. The record is from RefSeq and is a predicted model, not a curated record. NCBI's taxonomy places the organism in Eukaryota, Metazoa, Chordata, Aves, Passeriformes, Estrildidae.